AACACAUCCAGGAAUAGUGACUCAACCACCUGCCUGGGCAGCCCAUUCCAGUGCUUAACAGCCCUUUCUGCAUAAAAGUUUGUCCUGAUAUUCAACCUAAACUUACCCCACAUAUGCAUGUUCCGUGGAACCCCACAGAUGUGACAAUGGGGUCUGGCUUCUGGGGUGCUUCUCAAAGGAAACCAGUGCACGGUGUCAGGAGUGGAGGAGGAAGCAACUGAUCGUGCCACUAAUGCUGCCGUUCUGCGUCUCUCCCCAGUUAUCCUCAGGGUACUCAGCUUCCUGAGCUUGAAGAUGGGAAUGGGGGAAGAGAAUAAAGAUCCUGCAGUUCAGAAGGAAACAGUUAGUGACCUGCUACAUCAUGUAGACUAUCACAAAUCUAUGGGGUCAGGUGGGUUCCAAGAAAAGGUACUAACAGAACCGGUGGAAGUGCUCACCAAGCCACCUUCCAUCAUGUACCUGCUCAACUGGAGAGGUCUCAGACAGCUGGAGAAUUGCCACUGUCACAUCAUUAUACAAGAAGGUUCCACAGGAGGAUCUACAGGUCUCUCAGCCUAAGUAUUGCAGAAGGUUAUGGAGCAGAUAAUCUUGAGUGCAAUCAAACAUUAUAUACAAGAAAACCAGGGGAUCAGACCUAGCUAGCAUGAGUUUAUGAUCAUACUAUCUGCUCUGUUUGAUGAGUUGCCUAUUGGAAAAUGGAGCCACCAAUUUUACUGGGGAAAUAAAAAACAAAAAACAACCACAUUUAUGAUUUUUUUCCCUUGCAACUCACAUACUCAUUCCUGUACAGUCAAGGUAGGCUUUCCAUCCAACUUCCCAUAUCCUGUCCAUGAUCACACAGGUAAAACCACAGGAUGAUACAUAUAAAUAUGUACCCACUAUAUCCACUCUCCCUUGCAAAGGAACCAGCACAAGCCAUUGAACCAUUUUCUCCACAGCUGAGAUACAGAAGCAUAGGAGGAAGAGAGACAAUCUCCAUACUGACGAAGUAGGCUAGCCACUUCAUCCACCACUGCUCUUUCCAGUUCAUUCCUGCCAGGGAAUAGAAGUAGAAGCAACUGCAGGGCCCAUUGCAGGAGUGGGAGCAGCCACAGGGCUCACUGAAAGGACUGUAGUGACAACAAGGCUCAUCACAGUGUUUAGAGUAGCCACAGGACCCAUAACAGGAGAGCAACCACAGGGCUCAUUAUGAGAGUUGGAGUGACAGCAGAAUCUGUCACAAUGCUUGCAGCAACUGCUGUUGAUUGAACCUGUUAAUUGAACUGUAGCCGCUGCAGGAUCUAUCACAGGAGCUGGGGAGUCAAUUGCAUUGUCAUCAGAUCAAGAGAUAUUGCCUUCCCCUUGAAAAUGCUGAAUAGUGUUGAACAGAGCUCAGGAGCCAAACAUAGGUCAGGCCCCAGCUGCUGCAAUGAUUUGUGCCUCUUUGGGAUUGCCAAGAUGACAACUGUCCAAAUAUUCUAUUAGAUUUUCAGUAUUCUGCAGUUGUUCAGAGGUGAAGUUCAAAACCUCUAGGGGUGAGUACCACCCUAAGUACCAGCCCAUGCCAUUCCACAGUCCCUGCCACUCAGAACUAUCCCUCCUCAGUGCAGAUUUCUGGGCAAUAUUCUUAAGUAAUAGUUCCUUCUUAAACAUAAUCUAAAACACAUUCACAACUAGCAUGGUUUUAUUUUUGUUAUUGGUAUUCCACAUCAUAACAUCAUGUAGUAUUCAUGUUCCAUUUUUGUAGUAUGUCUAUGUUUCUGAAUACAUGGUUCCCAGAAGAGAAUAACUACA
Phasianus colchicus (ring-necked pheasant) is the source of this 1773-nucleotide non-coding RNA. The record is from RefSeq and is a predicted model, not a curated record. NCBI's taxonomy places the organism in Eukaryota, Metazoa, Chordata, Aves, Galliformes, Phasianidae.